UGUCCGAUUGUGUAAUGGUAGCACAACAGAUUCUGGUUCUGUUUGUCUUGGUUCGAGUCCAGGUCGGAUAA
This 71-nucleotide transfer RNA is filed under the name Flavipsychrobacter sp. RNAcentral's name for it is "tRNA-Gln". It matches the Rfam family "tRNA". From Rfam's summary of the family: Transfer RNA (tRNA) molecules are approximately 80 nucleotides in length. Their secondary structure includes four short double-helical elements and three loops (D, anti-codon, and T loops). The record is from RNAcentral. Lineage: Bacteria; Pseudomonadati; Bacteroidota; Chitinophagia; Chitinophagales; Chitinophagaceae.